RNAcentral lists this ribosomal RNA (555 nucleotides) under uncultured bacterium. RNAcentral describes it as "bacterial SSU rRNA". It matches the Rfam family "Bacterial small subunit ribosomal RNA", at positions 340 to 914 of the family's 1533-position model. The record is from RNAcentral.
UACGGGAGGCAGCAGUGGGGAAUAUUGGACAAUGGGCGAAAGCCUGAUCCAGCAAUGCCGCGUGUGUGACGAAGGCCUUAGGGUUGUAAAGCACCUUCACCCGCGAGGAUGAUGACGGUAGCGGGAGAAGAAGCCCCGGCUAACUCCGUGCCAGCAGCCGCGGUAAUACGGAGGGGGCGAGCGUUGUUCGGAAUUACUGGGCGUAAAGGGCGUGUAGGCGGCUUCGUCAGUCAGGCGUGAAAUCCCCGGGCUUAACCUGGGACGUGCGCUUGAUACUGCGGAGCUUGAGAGCGAGAGAGGUAAGCGGAAUUCCCAGUGUAGAGGUGAAAUUCGUAGAUAUUGGGAAGAACACCAGUGGCGAAGGCGGCUUACUGGCUCGUUUCUGACGCUGAGGCGCGAAAGCGUGGGGAGCGAACAGGAUUAGAUACCCUGGUAGUCCACGCCGUAAACGAUGUGUGCCAGACGUCGGGGGUUAGGCCUUCGGUGUCGCAGCUAACGCUUUAAGCACACCGCCUGGGGAGUACGGCCGCAAGGUUAAAACUCAAAGGAAUUGAC